UACGUAGGGGGCGAGCGUUGUCCGGAAUCAUUGGGCGUAAAGAGCGUGUAGGCGGCCCGAUAAGUCCGCUGUGAAAGUCCAGGGCUCAACCCUGGAAUGCCGGUGGAUACUGUCGGGCUCGAAUCCGGAAGAGGUGAGUGGAAUUCCUGGUGUAGCGGUGAAAUGCGCAGAUAUCAGGAGGAACACCGAUGGCGAAGGCAGGUCUCUGGGCCACUACUGACGCUGAGAAGCGAAAGCAUGGGGAGCGAACAGG
RNAcentral lists this ribosomal RNA (253 nucleotides) under uncultured bacterium. RNAcentral's name for it is "partial 16S ribosomal RNA". It matches the Rfam family "Bacterial small subunit ribosomal RNA", at positions 524 to 776 of the family's 1533-position model. The record is from RNAcentral.